GACGAACGCUGGCGGCGCGCUUAAUACAUGCAAGUCGAACGAGAAACUCGGUGCUUGCACCGGGUGGACAGUGGCGAACGGGUGAGUAACACGUGAGUAACCUGCCCCGGAGACCGGAAUAACCCGAGGAAACUCGGACUAAUACCGGAUGCCUUCACCGGACCGCAUGAUCUGGUGAAGAAAUGGUCCGCCGCUCCGGGAUGGACUCGCGGCCUAUCAGCUUGUUGGUGAGGUAACGGCUCACCAAGGCUACGACGGGUAGCUGGUCUGAGAGGACGAUCAGCCACACUGGGACUGAGAUACGGCCCAGACUCCUACGGGAGGCAGCAGUCGGGAAUCUUCCACAAUGGGCGAAAGCCUGAUGGAGCGACGCCGCGUGAGUGAUGAAGGCCUUCGGGUUGUAAAGCGCUUUUCUGGGGGAAGAGGAAGGACGGUACCCCAGGAAUAAGUCUCGGCUAACUACGUG
This 466-nucleotide ribosomal RNA is filed under the name uncultured bacterium. Its description in RNAcentral is "bacterial SSU rRNA". It matches the Rfam family "Bacterial small subunit ribosomal RNA", at positions 28 to 507 of the family's 1533-position model. The record is from RNAcentral.